UACUAGAGUAGCACUCGCAUAUCAAUAAGCGGAGGAAAAGAAACUAACAAGGAUUCCCCUAGUAACGGCGAGUGAAGCGGGAAGAGCUCAAAUUUGAAAUCUUAAAGGGUUUCCCUUUACGAAUUGUAGUUUAAAGAAGUGUUUUCUGUUGAGGUUUUGGUAAAAGUUCUUUGGAAUAGGACAUCAUAGAGGGUGAGAAUCCCGUAUUUGACCUUUACUUUCAACUUUGUGAUACACUUUCGAAGAGUCGGAUUGUUUGGGAAUGCAGUCCAAAAUGGGUGGUAAAUUUCAUCUAAAGCUAAAUAUUGGCGAGAGACCGAUAGCGAACAAGUACCGUGAGGGAAAGAUGAAAAGAACUUUGAAAAGAGAGUUAAACAGUACGUGAAAUUGUCAAAAGGGAAGCGUUUGACACCAGUGUUGUUUUUCUGAAAAUCAAUUAAAGAACUGUUUAUGCUAAGUUGUUUAGACUUUAUCAGCUAACUGUUUAGUUUUGAGCUUUUCUUUAAUGCACUUUUCAGUUAACAAGUCAACAUCAAUUUCUUUUGCUGUAAAAAAGCUUGAGGAAGGUGGCUUGAGAUUCGUCUUAAGUGUUUAUAGCCUCUUGCCUAUGCAGUCGGAGAGAUUGAGGUCUGCAGCGUAGAUCCUUCGGGGCUAAAUGCAUUUGUGCUAAGUUAUAGCAUUUUAUAGACAACUUGUUGACUAUGAUUUGUCUUGUAGCUUACUCGCUUAUGUUAUUUUACCUACGCUUAGGAUGUUGAGCGCAUGUCUCUCUCU
RNAcentral lists this ribosomal RNA (774 nucleotides) under uncultured Neocallimastigales. RNAcentral's name for it is "partial large subunit ribosomal RNA". It matches the Rfam family "Eukaryotic large subunit ribosomal RNA", at positions 20 to 616 of the family's 3401-position model. Lineage: Eukaryota; Fungi; Neocallimastigomycota; Neocallimastigomycetes; Neocallimastigales. The record is from RNAcentral.